AUACUUAUCUAGCAAGGGAAAUACCAAUGUCACAAAAGUGGUUUUCCUAGGGCGAGGCUUAUCCAUUGCUCUCUGGAUGUACUGACCCCUAUGAUUUCCCCAAAUGUGAGAAACUCGACUGCAUAAUUUGUGGUAGUGGAAGACUGCGUUCACGUGCUCCCCUG
This is a small nuclear RNA of Suncus etruscus (white-toothed pygmy shrew), 164 nucleotides long. RefSeq annotates it as U1 spliceosomal RNA. The record is from RefSeq and is a predicted model, not a curated record. NCBI's taxonomy places the organism in Eukaryota, Metazoa, Chordata, Mammalia, Eulipotyphla, Soricidae. The transcript has a single exon.